Molecule: ribosomal RNA, 255 nt
Filed under: uncultured bacterium
Lineage: Bacteria
Description: partial 16S ribosomal RNA
Rfam family: Bacterial small subunit ribosomal RNA
Source: RNAcentral
GUCCAUGCCGUAAACGAUGAUCACUAGCUGUUUGCGAUAUAAAGUAAGUGGCAAAGGGAACCAUUAAGUGAUCCACCUGGGGAGUACGCCCGCAAGGGUGAAACUCAAAGGAAUUGACGGGGCCCGCACAAGCGGAGGAACAUGUGGUUUAAUUCGAUGAUACGCGAGGAACCUUACCUGGAUUUAAAUGGGGAGUGACAGGCUUAGAGAUAGGUUUUUCUUCGGACACUCUUCAAGGUGCUGCAUGGUUGUCGU